UGAGGUUAAGCGAGUAAGCGUACACGGAGGAUGCCCUGGCAGUCAGAGGCGAUGAAGGACGUGCUAAUCUGCGAUAAGCGCCGGUAAGGUGAUAUGAACCGUUAUAAC
This 108-nucleotide ribosomal RNA is filed under the name Salmonella enterica subsp. enterica serovar Saintpaul. Its description in RNAcentral is "partial 23S ribosomal RNA". It matches the Rfam family "Bacterial large subunit ribosomal RNA", at positions 1 to 104 of the family's 2925-position model. Lineage: Bacteria; Pseudomonadati; Pseudomonadota; Gammaproteobacteria; Enterobacterales; Enterobacteriaceae. The record is from RNAcentral.